This 5540-nucleotide long non-coding RNA is filed under the name Medicago truncatula (barrel medic). RNAcentral's name for it is "long non-coding RNA (MTRU_LNC007775)". The record is from RNAcentral. Lineage: Eukaryota; Viridiplantae; Streptophyta; Magnoliopsida; Fabales; Fabaceae.
ACAGCAUAGUAAUAAAAAAAAUUACAACUUUGUUUUUUUUCUAAAUUCUGUCCAAGAAGACUAGUUAUGGAAAGUAUUGAUUUUGGUCAAAAUUAUGAGAUCUUUUUGAUGAAUAAUUAAUGAUGAUUAUAUAAUGGCAGAUAAGCACAAAGUUUUCGGAUUUGAUGGCUUUUGGUGGGGCAGCACCUGAAAGAAUCAAUGGAAGGUUGGCUAUGAUUGGUUUUGUAUCUGCAAUGGGGGUGGAAUUAGCAAAAGGGCAGGGUUUGUUCGAUCAAAUAUCUGGUGGUGGAAUCCCAUGGUUCUUGUAUACAAGUGUGUUGUUGACAGUUGCUUCUUUGGUUCCAUUAUUUGAAGGUGUUAGUGUUGAGUCUAAGUCAAAAGGUAUCAUGUCCUCAAAUGCAGAGCUUUGGAAUGGAAGAAUUGCUAUGUUGGGUUUGAUUGCUCUGGCUGUUACAGAAUAUGUUAAGGGUACUGCCCUUGUGUAAGUAGAGUUUUAUAGGGACAUGAUUAAAGUCUAUAGGGUUUGUGGUUAGAAGCCAAAGAUAGAACCUUAUGUAUAUUCUUAUGUAAUUUCUUUGUUUUGUUUUUUAAUUAUGUUAUUUUCAAGAAAGUGUAAUAGUUCUCUUUAUACUUAAAAAAACGGUCUUCUAAUUUCUUUUGUUGAAAUUCUUCUCCAUUUGCACUAUGAUUUCUCUUAUUAUAUUGUCAAGUUUUUUCUAUGUAAUUAUUGCAUGUUCAAAUUCUUUUUUGUCAUCUUUUAUUUUAAUUAUGUAGUACUAGAUGACUGGCAUACUCUAGCACGGUUUUAUAAAAUGAUGAUGAAACAAAUCUUUUUUAGUUUAACACAAGCCCUCAUAAUCUUAAUUGAGUUUAAACAUGUUGCAAUGUUAAAACUUUGGUGAUAGUUUACCACCAUUUGAGUUAUACAAGACUAUGACAAUUGCGCGUGUAAAAUAUCUGAUUUACUAAUACCGUGUUAUCCAAUAGUGGUAUGUUAGUCAUUGAUAUGUGAUUGUAGUUCUAUCGUAACAAUGUUGUGUGAAUGGGGUAGCUUCUACCCCAAUAAAAAUAUAUAUAUAUAUAUAUAUUUGAAUAGGUUAGUAUAUUUAGUAAUAUUUUUAUAUAUAUUUGAAUAGGUUAGUAUAUUUAGUAAAUAACUACUAUAAUAAUAUAUAUUUAAGGCUUAAUAGGUCAAUUGAUCCUUUAAUUAAUUUCAAGUUUUCAUUUUGGUCCCAUAACUAAUAAAACUCAUGUUUCGGUCCCUCAGGUUUGCCUCCGUUUGUCAAAUAAAUCCCUCGCUGUUAAGUUUAACCAUAAAUGUCUAUGGUGGACCAACAUUAAAAGUGAUCCACCGUAGAUGUUAUUAAAUUUUUAAUUUAAACCGUUUGAUAUAUUUUCUAAAAAGAUGACCAUUGAAUUAUACGUGUCUAUUGUAACUUACGGUGCACCAACAACAACUAAUUCUUUCUUUCUUUCUUCAUCUUCUACCUUACUAAUCUUCAUCAUCUUCAACUAAUCAACUCACAUUUUCAAACAUUCAUCAAUGAACUUCAAACAAACCCAGAAAAAUAAAUUUAAAAAAAAAAAAAAAAAAAAACAUCCAAAAUUAAAACAGCAACAAGUGUAGAUUAAGAAGACCAAGAUUGUAACCCAAAAGAAAGAAAAAAAAACCAAGAUGAGAACCAUUUCUAAAGGCCACUCUUGACAUACCCAUCACUCUUAGGAAUCUUCCAGAACACAGCCAAAGCAAGAGAAAGAACAAGAGUAAGAUCAGCAACAUCAUCAGUCAACACAACUCCCUUUCUCUUUGCAUUUUUUGAGAUCAAUUUUAUAAAAUUCAACACUGUAAGUUGAAAUGAUUACAAACUGCAGGAAAGAGAAAUGAAGAUAGAGUAGUCCCGAGAGAGAUGGAGGGAAAGGGUUUGACAGAAGAUAGAGUAGUCGUGACACCAAAACGCGUCGUUACCAAACCUUUAUCUUCGUCGGAGAAACACUCGAAAUCCACCACCACCGUCGACGUCGUUACCAUGAAAGCAGCAGGCGGAGGAACACUCUCAAAAGAACACCAAAGCGCAAAGAAGCUAUUACUCCGCUGCCGCGACGGCCUCAAACGUCCUGAACAUUCCACCUCUACCUCCGCCGCCGUCGUCAGCAUUGAUUCGGAGCUUUCCUUCGCCGUGAAGAGGGAUAUCAACCAGAUCCAAUCCCUCUGAUUUGAGAUGGAUCGCCUUUGGCGUUCCGUCGCAUCCAAACCUCAAUGUGAUCUUUGGAAAAGGUGAACAUAUUGAAAUUGGUUGAUUCUGAUCUUGUUGAUUCCUGGAUAUUUUCUUCUUCUGGGUUUACGGUGUAUGAGAUGGGUUAAUGUUGGCUUAAUACUAGGAAGAAUCGAGUAUGUUGGCUUAAUGUUCAUGAUCUGGUUGUUAAAAAAAAAUUAUUUUAUUUUGGUAAAUGAUGUUAUUGUGGAAGGAAAAAAAAAAUCUAGAUUGUUUAUGAGUGAGUGAUGAAGAUGAUGUUGAAUGUAUGAAAAAGAGGAAGGAAGAAGAUGAAGAAAGGGAAAUAUAAUUCAAUGGUAGCCUUUUUUUAAUCCAAUGGUAGUUGUUAUUGGAUCAUUUGUAAGAUAAAGUAGUCCUUCAUAAUCCAAUGGUAGCCUUUUUUUUUUAAAGAUCAAACGGUUAAAAUUUUAUAAAUUAAUGAAGUCUAUGGUGAACCACUCUUAAAGUGGAUCUGCUGUAGAUAUCUGAGGUUAAACUUAUCAGCGUGGGAUUUAUUUGACAAACAGAGGCAAACUUGAUGGACCGAAACAUGAGUUUUAUUAGUUAUGGGACCAAAAUAAAAAUUUGAAAUUAAUUAAAGAACCAAAUGACCUAUUAAGCUUAUAUUUAACUAUCAUAAAUGAGUUUAUUUGUCGAAAUUUAGAAUAAAUAAAAAUGUCAGUAAUAUAUUCACAUGUUUUGUAGAUGUAUUUUAUUUUGACACUUUUAAUAUCUUAAACAACUAAAAAAAAUUACUAACAGUAAAAAUUAUCAAAACAACACUCGAUGUAUAUUUUAUCUUAUUUCCCAUAAAGAUGGUUAGUGGCUUCGCCGCUGGUGUCAAGUAUAUGGGAAAAUUCUUGAUAAGCCUUAUGGUUGCAAUAUAGUAUGAAAAAACAAAAAAAACAAAAGAAUCAUUAUUAUCACUUGAAUGUGUGGCAUUGUAAAAGUGCAUUUCUAGGAAAGUUUUCUAGGAUUAAGAGUUAUGUUGUCACUUGAAUAUAGUGGUCAUUACAUGUUUUCUUAAUUUGGCUAUUUGUUCACAGUGAUCCAUCUCGAUGUCCCACAACCAUUGCUCUAGUAUACGGUGAUAGUUCUUCAUAAGACACUUCUCUGUAUAUUAGUAUUUAAGUUAAAUUAAGUCCUUCAUUAGGAGUAUUAAUUGAAGAAGAAGAACUGCAAGUCAACGAGUGCUCGCCACUCAUAUCUUUGUGUUUCAUUUCAAGUAUAUACUGCUCAGAGACAUUUUCACCAUGGAUCCAAGUAUUUAUAUAGACGUCAAUGAUAGAUCAUCGUCGUAGAUUCUAAAAUUAUAUUCAUGUUCAUAUAUUUUAUUUAGAAAAUGUUAACUUGUGCAAUUAAUUCUAACAUGAUCAACUCUUAAAAGUAAGACAUGCGAUCUUAACUGAAAAUACCCCAACUAUAUAUAUUAUUAAUAUGAAGCUUCACAUGAUCAACUCUUUCUGGUGAUCUUUUUUGUUUUUUUUUUUGGUUGUGUACGUUUCAUCAUCUUUUCAUAAUGUUAUUGUUGCUUUCUACCUUAAAAAGUGUGUACAUUAAAUUUGGCUCUUUAAAAAAUAGGAGUAGCAUUUUUUUUAUAGGAUAAAAAUAAGGAACCUUAACCAUAAGUAAAAAAAUUAUUUUUUUGUUACAAGGUUAAUCAAAACAAACAAAACGGAAAAAGAAAAAUAAAAAGAACAAAAAACUAUUUUUUAAAAAAGAAAGUGUUGGCCGUGUCAAUCUUAAGGAGGAGGCUUAUAAGAUCUCUUGGCGGAGUUUUACGUCUGAUGAAGCACCAAAUUUAGCCAUAAAAUUUGCACAUUUGUUUUCCUCUCGAAGAGUGAGGUAAAUUGUGACAUUGCUUUGUUGAAUAAGAUCCAUUCGAUAGAGUUUUUUAUUUAACAAUUGAAUUAGUAAAAUGUAUUUUUUUAUAAUGAGUUAUUAAAUACAAUAAGAAAAUUAAAACACAAUAAAAAUGGAUUAAUUUAUACGGUUUCAAUAAAGAAAAUGACUCUACAAUACACGGGUUAUUUUUGCCCCCUUCCACAAAUUUUUAUGGUUCCGUCCUGAUUCCAAGUGAACAAGCUAGGACAACCUCAAAUUCUCAGUGUAGCACUUUUAUGGUUCCGUUCUAUAGCCACGUCUCUUGCUUUUACCAUCUAUGGAUGAAUGAACCCACGUGAACAAAUCACCUUUAAGAAUUAGGACCCAUAUUAUACACAUUACGUACGUGGAACUUAAAUAUCCACCAUAUCACUUGCCUUUCGUAACCUUUACAACCUUGUUACACACUACGUGGAAGUUUGGAACCCAAGUAUCACUCAAUGCUUUCCAUUUUAAUUCUCUAUAAACAACCUUCUUCAAUGCUAUACAUACCAACCUUAACCAUCUAAGGUGUAGUAAAAGAGUUCAUUAAUAUCCUAUCUUCAAAUAUACUUGGUCUCUUUAGAUCUUGACUUUUGCAUUGUAACAUUAAGAACUUGUUAUCAAUGGCUGUUUCAUCUUAUCAAUCUAUCAUGUCUAGCUCCAUUACAAGCAGCAUUUCUAGCAGGCCUAGAGUUAACCAAUUUAACAACAUCCCUUCUGUGUAUAUGCCUAGCUUUAAAAGGAAUGCUAGCUUGAAAGUUCGAUCUAUGGCUGAGGUAAUUAAGGUUUAUAUAUCAAACAAAUAUUAAGGUCAUGUAUAUAGUGUUUGUUCAUGCAUAUUUAAUUUAUAUACAUGGAAAAACCACCAUAUCAAAUGUGUUUAUGAUUUAUAUUUAAGAAAUAUUCACAUGAAUUAUUGUUGUUUUUGUAAAUUCCAGAGAAUCCAUAACGUCCCCCAGUUGUAGAAUAGUCAUUUGUGUCAUUUUAAUUGAUAAUAAUGUCUCUUUACAUUAUUCAGGAAGGGCAGAAAGAGCAACCAAAGGUGACUCCACAGCCUGCCUCUACUACUCGUUCACCAAAGGUGAGCAUACAGCAUAGUAAUAAAAAAAUUACAACUUUAUUUUUUACAACAAAAUUGUGUCCAAGAAGAGUAGGAAUGUAAAGUACUGAUUUUGGUCAAAAUUAAUGAGACCUUCUAAAUGAUUAAUGAUGAUUAUAUAAUGGCAGAUAAGCACAAAGUUUUCGGAUUUGAUGGCUUUUGGUGGGGCAGCACCUGAAAGAAUCAAUGGAAGGUUGGCUAUGAUUGGUUUUGUAUCUGCAAUGGGGGUGGAAUUAGCAAAAGGGCAGGGUUUGUUCGAUCAAAUAUCUGGUGGUGGAAUCCCAUGGUUCUUGUAUACAAGUGUGUUGUUGACAGUUGCUUCU